ACGGGAGGGGAGGAGAAUCUCUUCGGCGGUCCUCUUCCCCCGUAGGGUCUCCCGACGACGGACUAUCACUGAGUUCUGCUGGUCCCACAGCCAAACUCCUCCGGCGCAGCUCUGGAGGUCUCCCGCAGCCCCGCUCCUCUGCAGCGGUCGCCCCCUCCGACUGGCCUUUUCAACCAGCGCUUGUGCAAAAAAAAAAAGGGCUGCUCUCAGCGUCGCUUUGCUAACCGUUUCCUCCCCCUCGCCUUGCCGCCACAGGAGACUAAGGAGCGUGAGGCGCUGCUGUCUUGUAUUUAUAACUUUACCGGGGUGUGUGUCGCGUCGGAUUACCCGGAUAUCUGGAAGCACACUGCUAACCUCCUGGAGGCCAGCUGCGGCGGCGACAUCCGUCCCAAGGUGGAUAAUCUCUGGAAUGGUACUGUGACUCAUAAGGGAUCUAACAAGUGCAACAACCAGCGAAAGAAAAUAAUAGCAAAUCAAAAAUGUGGGAAUCACACACUCCAGGAACUACAAAUUAUGUGGAAAUAUUAUUAUCAGAUGUGACCAUGAAUUUGAGAAGAAUCUCUACAACCCUGUAUAAAUGCUUCAGCAUCCACCUUGUGUGUACAAAAUGCCAUCAAGUCAUAGUUGACUUUCCGUGAUUGCAGCAAAUGGCUUUCAAGCAGAGGUGGAUUGUCAUUGCCUUCCUCGGCCCAUUCUUCCUUGCAGAUCUCCCUUCCAAGUACUGACCCUGCUUAGCUUCUGAGAUCUGAUGAGAUUGGGCUAGCCGCUAUACCAUUCUGCCUUCCCACCUGCGUUCGUCUUACACAGUUCCUGUAUUGUAAUAGAAUAAAUAUAUUUUGUAUGAAGUUAAUAUAUAUAUAUUUACAAAUAAAUGUUUUUAUUAACUGCUUUUUAAA
This is a long non-coding RNA of Sphaerodactylus townsendi, 896 nucleotides long. RefSeq lists it as uncharacterized. The transcript has 2 exons. NCBI's taxonomy places the organism in Eukaryota, Metazoa, Chordata, Lepidosauria, Squamata, Sphaerodactylidae. The record is from RefSeq and is a predicted model, not a curated record.